This is a long non-coding RNA of Chelonia mydas (Green sea turtle), 583 nucleotides long. RefSeq lists it as uncharacterized. The record is from RefSeq and is a predicted model, not a curated record. The transcript is spliced from 3 exons. NCBI's taxonomy places the organism in Eukaryota, Metazoa, Chordata, Testudines, Cheloniidae.
CACAUAUUGUUCAGCAGACAGUGCCUCCCAAUAGCAGUCAGCUCUCCUGGCCAGGGAGUAGACGGCCAUUCCCCACAGAGAAAAGAGAUUUGUUUAAAAAGAAAAGUCACAGACAGGUUUGCUCUGGACGUCCAUCAGGGCUUGGAUUAUGGAGGAUACAAGCUCUUCUUCCUGGUCCUCAAAAGAGUGCUAUAACUAAAAAUCUGUAAUAAAUUUGAUACUGCCGCAGCAGACAACACCAAAGCAGCCCUUCCCCCCAGAAAUCUCCUUUCUAAUGACUUCAUGCACUUUACUAACCCACCCCAGGGCAGGGCUAUGCUUUGAAGGAUUUUAUUCCCAGCAUGCUUUUCUGGGGCUGUCCCUUUAACUUUGGUAGAGUCAAGCAGGGCUGGCCCUUUAGCAGUGGUUUGGGGCUGUAUUUGCCUCUCUUCGAGCUGAUCGUCUCGUCUAGCAGUGAACAGGGAAUCGUUUGUUGGGAUCAGACUUGGACGUACCUUUCAUUGUUCAACGCCCAAAUCUGCGGCCUUUAGAAUAUGAGAUGAUGGACCCAAAAUAAGGGACUUGCCAAAACAAACAAUAGUGA